GACGAACGCUGGCGGCGUGCUUAACACAUGCAAGUCGAACGGAAAGGCCCUGCUUUUGUGGGGUGCUCGAGUGGCGAACGGGUGAGUAACCCGGGAGUAACCUGCCCUUGACUUUGGGAUAACUUCAGGAAACUGGGGCUAAUACCGGAUAGGAGCUCCUGCUGCAUGGUGGGGGUUGGAAAGUUUCGGCGGUUGGGGAUGGACUCGCGGCUUAUCAGCUUGUUGGUGGGGUAGUGGCUUACCAAGGCUUUGACGGGUAGCCGGCCUGAGAGGGUGACCGGCCACAUUGGGACUGAGAUACGGCCCAGACUCCUACGGGAGGCAGCAGUGGGGAAUAUUGCACAAUGGGCGGAAGCCUGAUGCAGCAACGCCGCGUGCGGGAUGACGGCCUUCGGGUUGUAAACCGCUUUCGCCUGUGACGAAGCGUGAGUGACGGUAAUGGGUAAAGAAGCACCGGCUAACUACGUG
This 468-nucleotide ribosomal RNA is filed under the name uncultured bacterium. Its description in RNAcentral is "partial 16S ribosomal RNA". It matches the Rfam family "Bacterial small subunit ribosomal RNA", at positions 28 to 507 of the family's 1533-position model. The record is from RNAcentral.